CUCAGAUUGAACGCUGGCGGCAGGCCUAACACAUGCAAGUCGAGCGUGAAAGCCUUCGGGUGAGUAGAGCGGCGGACGGGUGAGUAACGCGUGGGAAUCUACCUAGUAGUGGGGGACAACAGUUGGAAACGACUGCUAAUACCGCAUACGUCCUAAGGGAGAAAGCGGGGGAUCUUCGGACCUCGUGCUAUUAGAUGAGCCCGCGUAAGAUUAGCUAGUUGGUGGGGUAAUGGCCCACCAAGGCGACGAUCUUUAGCUGGUCUGAGAGGAUGAUCAGCCACACUGGAACUGAGACACGGUCCAGACUCCUACGGGAGGCAGCAGUGGGGAAUAUUGCACAAUGGGCGCAAGCCUGAUGCAGCCAUGCCGCGUGUGUGAAGAAGGCUCUAGGGUUGUAAAGCACUUUCAGCGAGGAGGAAAGGGUGAUGUUUAAUAGGCAUUAUCUGUGACGUUACUCGCAGAAGAAGCACCGGCUAACUCCGUGCCAGCAGCCGCGGUAAUACGGAGGGUGCGAGCGUUAAUCGGAAUUACUGGGCGUAAAGCGCGCGUAGGCGGUUAUUUAAGCUAGAUGUGAAAGCCCAGGGCUCAACCUUGGAACUGCAUUUAGAACUGGGUAGCUAGAGUACAGCAGAGGAUAGUGGAAUUUCAGGUGUAGCGGUGAAAUGCGUAGAGAUCUGAAGGAACAUCAGUGGCGAAGGCGACACUCUGGACCAAUACUGACGCUGAGGUGCGAAAGCGUGGGUAGCAAACAGGAUUAGAUACCCUGGUAGUCCACGCCGUAAACGAUGUCUACUAGCCGUUGGGUUCCUUGAGGACUUAGUGGCGCAGCUAACGCAUUAAGUAGACCGCCUGGGGAGUACGGCCGCAAGGUUAAAACUCAAAUGAAUUGACGGGGGCCCGCACAAGCGGUGGAGCAUGUGGUUUAAUUCGAUGCAACGCGAAGAACCUUACCAGGUCUUGACAUCCUACUAAGUUUCCAGAGAUGGAUUCGUGCCUUCGGGAAAGUAGUGACAGGUGCUGCAUGGCUGUCGUCAGCUCGUGUCGUGAGAUGUUGGGUUAAGUCCCGUAACGAGCGCAACCCUUGUCCUUAGUUGCCAUCAGGUAAUGCUGGGAACUCUAAGGAGACUGCCGGUGACAAACCGGAGGAAGGUGGGGACGACGUCAAGUCAUCAUGGCCCUUACGACCUGGGCUACACACGUGCUACAAUGGGGCGCACAAAGGGCAGCUAAGCCGCGAGGUGGAGCUAAUCCCAGAAAACGUCUCGUAGUCCGGAUUGGAGUCUGCAACUCGACUCCAUGAAGUCGGAAUCGCUAGUAAUCGUGAAUCAGAAUGUCACGGUGAAUACGUUCCCGGGCCUUGUACACACCGCCCGUCAUACCAUGGGAGUGGGUUGCAAAAGAAGUGAGUAGCUUAACCUUCGGGAUGGCACUCACCACUUUGUGAUUCAUGACUGGGGUGAAGUCGUAACAAGGGUAGCCGUAA
Molecule: ribosomal RNA, 1483 nt
Filed under: uncultured prokaryote
Description: partial 16S ribosomal RNA
Rfam family: Bacterial small subunit ribosomal RNA
Source: RNAcentral